This 319-nucleotide ribosomal RNA is filed under the name uncultured eukaryote. RNAcentral describes it as "partial 18S ribosomal RNA". It matches the Rfam family "Eukaryotic small subunit ribosomal RNA", at positions 1470 to 1796 of the family's 1831-position model. The record is from RNAcentral.
CCCUUAGAUGUUCUGGGCAGCACGCGCGCUACAAUGGUCUUCGCAAACGGAUGCAUUCUCGAAGGAGAAUGCCAAUCUUGGAAUCUAUGCCUUGGUCGGGACAGUUGCUUGCAAUUUUUCGACUCGGACCAGGAAUUCCUUGUAAUCGUGAUUCAUCACAUCACGAUGAAUACGUCCCUGCCCUUUGUACACACCGCCCGUCGCUCCUACCGAUCGAAGAGUUAGGUGAAUUGUUUUGAUCGAUAAGAUUUGACUAUGGUCAACUCUCGUUGUGAAAUUCUGUGAAUCUGACUGUUUAGAGGAAGGAAAAGUCGUAACA